GACGAACGCUGGCGGCGUGCUUAACACAUGCAAGUCGAACGGAAAGGCCCUGCUUUUGUGGGGUGCUCGAGUGGCGAACGGGUGAGUAACACGUGAGUAACCUGCCCUUGACUUUGGGAUAACUUCAGGAAACUGGGGUUAUAACCGGAAAGGACUUCUUCCUCCUUGGUGGGGGUUGAAAAGUUUCGGCGGUUGGGGAUGGACUCGCGGCUUAUCAGCUUGUUGGUGGGGUAGUGGCUUACCAAGGCUUUGACGGGUAGCCGGCCUGAGAGGGUGACCGGCCACAUUGGGACUGAGAUACGGCCCAGACUCCUACGGGAGGCAGCAGUGGGGAAUAUUGCACAAUGGGCGGAAGCCUGAUGCAGCAACGCCGCGUGCGGGAUGACGGCCUUCGGGUUGUAAACCGCUUUCGCCUGUGACGAAGCGUGAGUGACGGUAAUGGGUAAAGAAGCACCGGCUAACUACGUG
RNAcentral lists this ribosomal RNA (468 nucleotides) under uncultured bacterium. RNAcentral's name for it is "partial 16S ribosomal RNA". It matches the Rfam family "Bacterial small subunit ribosomal RNA", at positions 28 to 507 of the family's 1533-position model. The record is from RNAcentral.